Molecule: ribosomal RNA, 459 nt
Filed under: uncultured bacterium
Lineage: Bacteria
Description: partial 16S ribosomal RNA
Rfam family: Bacterial small subunit ribosomal RNA
Source: RNAcentral
CCUACGGGAGGCAGCAGUGAGGAAUAUUGGUCAAUGGACGAGAGUCUGAACCAGCCAAGUAGCGUGAAGGAUGACUGCCCUAUGGGUUGUAAACUUCUUUUAUAAAGGAGUAAUACGAGUCACGUGUGCCUUUUUGCAUGUACUUUAUGAAUAAGGAUCGGCUAACUCCGUGCCAGCAGCCGCGGUAAUACGGAGGAUGCGGGCGUUAUCCGGAUUUAUUGGGUUUAAAGGGUGCGUAGACGGGAGGUUAAGUCAGUGGUAAAAUAUUGGGGCUAAACGUAACAAUGCCAUUGAUACUGGCAGGCUUGAGUACAGUUGAGGUAGGCGGAAUAAGUGGUGUAGCGGUGAAAUGCAUAGAUAUCACGAAGAACCCCGAUAGCGAAGGCAGCUUACUAAACUGUGACUGACGCUGAUGCUCGAAAGUAUGGGUAUCAAACAGGAUUAGAUACCCCAGUAGUC